CGGAGGGUGCGAGCGUUGUCCGGUAUUUAUUGGGUUUAAAGGGUGCGUAGGUGGCUGUUUAAGUCAGUGGUGAAAUACGGUUGCUCAACAAUCGAGGUGCCAUUGAUACUGAAUAGCUUGAAAUAAUUGGAGGCUGCCGGAAUGGAUGGUGUAGCGGUGAAAUGCAUAGAUAUCAUCCAGAACACCAAUUGCGAAGGCAGGUGGCUACGAUUUAUUUGACACUGAGGCACGAAAGCAUGGGGAGCAAACAGGAUUAGAUACCCUGGUAGUCCGUGCCGUAAACGAUGAGGACUCGCUGUUGGUGUUCAUGCAUCAGCGGCUUAGGGAAACCGUUAAGUCCUCCACCUGGGGAGUACGCCGGCAACGGUG
This 369-nucleotide ribosomal RNA is filed under the name uncultured organism. Its description in RNAcentral is "bacterial SSU rRNA". It matches the Rfam family "Bacterial small subunit ribosomal RNA", at positions 526 to 896 of the family's 1533-position model. The record is from RNAcentral.